GGCUCGGUGGUGUAGUUGGUUAUCACGUCAGUCUAACAUUUCGUUAGCACACUGAAGGUCCCGAGUUCAAACCUCGGCUGAGUCA
Molecule: transfer RNA, 85 nt
Filed under: Trematosphaeria pertusa
Lineage: Eukaryota; Fungi; Ascomycota; Dothideomycetes; Pleosporales; Trematosphaeriaceae
Description: tRNA-Val
Source: RNAcentral